Molecule: long non-coding RNA, 9626 nt
Filed under: Sorghum bicolor (sorghum)
Lineage: Eukaryota; Viridiplantae; Streptophyta; Magnoliopsida; Poales; Poaceae
Description: long non-coding RNA (SBIC_LNC001159)
Source: RNAcentral
CAACGUUGAUCAUUGACCAAUGUUCUCGAUUCAACCGAUCAGUUUUUGGCCGGAGGAUGGUAGAUGGGAGUUGGUGAUGCGUACGUUGGCGCUGGGGGGUGGUACUCAGGCUCAGGCUUUGGUUUGGGCUCAGGCUUAGGCUUCGGUGGCACAGGUUUCUUGUGGAAGUGGUCAAAGAACUUGUGAUAGUCAUGGUCCUUGUGGAAGUGAUCAAGGAAGUGCUUCUUGUCAAACGAUAUUUCUUUCACAACCGGAGGGUGGUAGAUCGGAGUCGGAGACCCGUAUGUGGGUGUCGGGGGGUGGUACUCAGGCUUAGGCUGCGGCUUUGGCUUUGGUGGCACGGGCUUCUUGUGGAAGUGGUCAAAGAUGUGGUGGUAGUCAUGGUGUUUGUGGAAGUCAUCGUGCAAGGGAUUCUUGUCGAACAAGUGCCUGGCAGGAGGGUGGUAGAUUGGUGUAGGUGACCCAUAUGUUGGCGUUGGUGGGUGGUACUCAGGCUCAGGUUGAGGUUUGGGCUCUGGCUUGGGCUUGGGUGGCACAGGCUUCUUGUGGAAGUGGUAAAAAAAGUGGUGGUAGUCAUGGCCUUUAUGAAAGUGAUCAGGCUCAGGCUGCGGCUUAGGCUGCGGCUUGGGCUCCGGCUUUGGCUUUGGUGGCACGGGCUUCUUGUGGAAGUGGUCGAAGAAGUGGUGGUAGUCGUGGUCCUUAUGAAAAUGGUCGAGCAAGGGCUUCUUGUCAAACAAAUGUCUAGCUGGAGGGUGGUAGAUCGGUGUGGGUGACCCGUAUGUUGGAGUCGGAGGGUGGUAUUCUGGCUGUGGCUUGGGCUCUGGCUUCGGCUUUGGUGGAACUGGCUUCUUGUGGAAGUGGUCAAAGAAGUGGUGUGGCUUAGGUUCUGGUUCUGGUUUGGGUUCUGGCUUCGGCUUCAGCGGAGAUGGCUUCUUGUGGAAGUGGUCCAAGAAGUGGUGAUAGUCGUGGUCCUUGUGGAAGUGAUCAACCAUGUGCUUCUUGUCGAACAACUGCCUUGCUGGAGGAUGGUAGAUUGGAGUUGGGGAUCGAUAUGUUGGCGUAGGGGAGUGGUACUUCGGCUGCGGCUUAGGUUCUGGCUUUGGCUUUGGCUCUGGCUUCGGCUUCGGUGGCACAGGCUUCUUGUGGAAAUGGUCCAACAGGUGCUUCUUGAUCGGCCCGCAUAGGGUUGCCGACGCGCAUUCUGCCGACGGGUAGUCUGUCUUGCCAGGGACCACGACGAAGUUGCCAUCGGACGACUGCGGCACAAUCCUGGAAGGUUCCUGACCGGGGCACGGGGUGCCCGCGGCGCUGUGGAGCUGCGCAACGCAGUCAGCGGCGUGCAUGUCCGUGCUCAGCGGGAUGCUGAAGGCGCCGGAGACAUCUAGCUUGCCUAUGGCCUUGCUCUCGUACUCGCCUUUGCUGUUCCUGCACUUGAUCGCCACCUCAAGACCUGAAAUGCAUGGAUCGAAAAGCACCGUCAGUACCAGCAGCUAGCUUCUUCUGACCUUACUGAUCAGCUUAAAGCAUUGAGUAUCCACUGUUUAUGUUAUUAGCUUAAUUAAAUAUGCAUGUAUAUUAUUCCUAGUAUAUUUACCCUUGAAUGCCGCUUCGGCCUUCAUGUUCUUCCUGGUGCAAUCGGCGCAUUUGGCGAGGCCGAUAACCACCGAGGACGCCUCACUGGAGGCAGCGCUUGCGACGGCUAUUACCAUCAGCACGGCGAAAAUGCCGGGGAGAAGGCCCCCAUGUACCGCAGCCAUGGCUAGAUGGAUGACUCGAUGAGAUGAAGAAGAGGCAAUGCAAUGCCUGCCUUAUAUAGGCCUACGCAUUGAUCAAACACAGCUCGAUCUUACAUGCAUGCACGCAUGAUCACGAGCUGGUGAGGACUGAGGCGCCAGCACACAUAAUUUUGGCGCCGAAAUUGCAGACCGGCCGGGAAUUAAUGCCGUCCAUUUGAGUUGAUCAAUCUCUGUCUGUCCAUUCAUCAUGUCCAGUCGGUUGGUAGUAGUUGGAGUUGUGUAAGUUACGUCAGUUGCGGCACUUUGGAUUUGCAUGCAUGCAGCGCCAGUACAUGCCCUGUGUAAUGCAGGUUUCCAUUGGUCACAUCGGAAAAGCAAAGCUUGUAAAAGCGCGUGUCCGGUGUGCUCAUCUGCUGGACAAUAAAUUUCAGAACAGUAUAGUAUAGUUUGGUUUGUUUCAGAAAAGGGACAGUACUUUCGGAAUGUGGAUACAAAAUAAGUUCUUUCUGACCGCGUGUAGUUGGAUACAACAUAUAGUAGCACAAAAAAGCUCUAUGAUGACGGUAGUGUCUAAUUUAUAGACGCGGCGAGCCCAAUUCAAGAACCGCCACUGUAAACCCAUUUACACUGACAGUUCACUUAAGGAAACUGUCAGUGUCAAUAGUGCAUUUCCACUAGCGGUUUCCUUAAGUGCUGUGCAAAUAGAUUUACACCAGUGGUACCUUAUGUCAGCCGCCAGUGAAGUUUUUGGUAUAAAUACUCAUUCUUCCUCCACGAGUAGAACUGUUUCUCACAACCACCUUCUAUUAGAGGCCAUUUUGGAGGUCUAGAUUUUUAGGAGGUUGCUAAGAAAUGUUAGUUUAUAUCUCUCUUGCCUCUUUUUGUUCAUUCUUGCUCAAUUUGAACCACUUUAUGGAUCUAGGAUUUCACCAUAUGUUAGAGAGAAGAAUAGCUAGGUUAUUAUCUUUAUUUGCUCAAAUGAUCUUAAGAUUGUUAGAUGAUGUCUCUCCUCUAUCCCUUUUUAUUUUUGCUUCUCACUUUAGUUUAUCCAAGAUAUAUUUAGUUAUUUUCAUGAAUUGUGUGUUCUUGUCUAUUUAUGUAGAUAGAGAAAUAUAGGUUCUUUUGUUAGUUUUAUAAAUUGUGUAGUUUUUUGUCUUCAUUUCUCAAUUUGAUUUAAUUAUCCACUAUGUAUUUAUGUUUCAUGAAUGGUGUGUUUGUAUGUAGAGGGGAAGAUAGGUUUCUUAAUUAAUUAAGAUUAUUGUGUUUAUUAAUUAGAAAAUAUGAAAGAGGUUUCUUUGUUUACCACUAUGUUGUUGACUGAGGUUACUUAGUACGGUUAAUUUUAUUCUUCUAACUUUUAGCGAACCUUGCUUCAAGGUCUAUAAAUUGGAAAAUAUACAAGUGGGAGGUUUUCAUCUUCAUUUCUUCGAAAGAGGUUGGUGAUCAAAAGAUUAGAUAAUAAAUAUCUCUAGACAAUCAUACUUGUUUUGCAUUGAUUAUAAUUAAUUCAUUAUAUUUUUUAUAUGUAAUGAUGGAGAGGUCAUUUUGGAUGUAUAAUUUAUCAAGACUAAAUCCAUCAUAUAUACCCGAGGUCCCUAGGUUUUUUGAUGCUGACUAAGAACCAUGCUUGGAGAACAAAGAUGAAGCACAUCUAUUGUCCAUGCAUAGACUGUACAAAUGUUAUUGUAUUUGAUGACACUAAAUCAAUCAUUUAUUAUUUGGUCUAACAAGAAUUUAUGAUGGAUUACUUGUUUUGGACAAAGGGUAGCUUGCGCCUUAUACAAAUAGAAACCUUACGAACAUCGACGUUGAUGCUGAUGGAUUUCCGUUCCUACAUGAGAUACAACAACCUCUUUCCUAGAGUGAACAUGUUGUGCCAAAUGUUACGGUUAUGGAAGAUGUAGAAUUCUUAGGGUAAAGUUGCAUCAUCAUAUGGAUCCAUGAAUAUUAUUAAUGAAAGGUAUGGAAGCCCUGAUAAAGGCUGCAGAAGAGACUUUGCACGACGAGUCUAAGGGUUAUACCAAAGAGUUCAUGACACUGCGGUCUAUGCUAAAGUUGUCGAUGUUAAAAGCUAGAUAUGGUAUGUCUGAUGCUGGCUUGGAUGCAUUCUUGUGUAUUAUUGCAGACAUGCUUCCAAAGGGAAACAAUGUGUGUGCUAAGACGUACUAUGUAAAGAAACUAAUCAGUCCGCUCACUAUGGGUAUGGAGAAGAUCCACGCGUGUCAUGAUGACGAUGAUUAUAAGGACUUAGAGAGUUGUCCAAAGUGUGGUGCAACUACGUACAAGACAAAUAAAGACUAUCGAGAGAAAGAGUGUGUUGCCUCCAUUUCUAAAGGAAAGAAGCGAAAGGAGACCAAAUAGAACAAACAAUAAAGUUCAAAAUCUAGAAAAAUAUUCCUACUUUGAUGAUGUGGUGUAACACCCUAGUGUUAAGUAUGCAUUAAGGCUUCAUCAAACUUAUAUGAGCAUUGGCACAAGCAUGAGCAUCUCAUGUGUUGUGCUAUAUUUUAUGCAUAUCUUUUAAAUGUGAAUUAAUUUUGAUAAUUGUCAUGCUAUGUCUAAAAAUGCUUGUUAUGCCUAGAUUAAAUUGUUUUAUGCCUAAACUUAAAUUAGAAAAUUUAAGUACCAUUUUUGGAGCCCUAGAAUUAAAGGAGUUGAUUUAAAUUAAAAUUUCGCAAAAUAGAUUUAUUUCAAACCUAGAACUAACUUUAAAUUGAAAUUCAAAAUCCAUUUGGAUUCUUGAUUUGCACCAUAAAGCAAAGUUAUAGAGAAUUUUAUUUUGAGCAACUUUUAUUUUUGGGUCAACUCCUGAAAAUGCAUUUAAAACAGUGUUUAAAAAUUAAUUGAGAAAAUAAAUUCAAAAAAAAGAGAAGGGAGGAGCGCCCUACUGGGCCACGCACCUUGCUUCUGGCCCAGCAGCCAAAGCCGGCCUGGCUCGUGAGCACAUCCCCUUCCUCCUCAGGCGCGCACUGUGGCCAGGUGACGUCGUGGCCGACCGUGCGUAGGCCAGCCGCGCCACGUGGAUGGCAAGCAACGGCAGCGGCUACGACAGUGCCUGCUUGCCCGAGCAGAAGGGGACGACAGCGGCUCUGCGUUGUCCACCUUCUCCACUCCACCCCGACCACACCUCUCUUGCUCUCGUCUCACAAAGCAGAGCUUGACAGCACCAUCGUCCGCCAUAGCCGCUACCGAGCUCCAGCGUCGACGUUCCAUCUUGUUGGUCGCUCCCGCCCUCGAUUCCUCCUGUCCACCGCUCCGUCUUCAUUCUCCUCAUCUCUGAAUGAGUCGGAUUGCCUCCCUUGGCUCAAGGUGAGGGAUAGCCGGCUGUCUUCUUCUUCUCUAGUGUGAACGUCGCAGCGGUUCAUGUGGUCAGCAAGGCCGCCGAGCCUCUUCCUCCUUCCUUUUGCGCGCAUCACAUUCGCCUUGACCUCGCCAAGCUCGUGCGUGCUCUGGUUCAUGCUCUACGCCGGAGUUCGUGAGUCCACCAUCCAGCAGAGCCAUCGUGCCGCCAUGGCCGGCGACGAGCUUGCUUCGGGGUGUCUCCAGACAAACCACCGCGCGCAUCCUGUUCGCCUAGGCUCGGGGAACACACAUGAGUGCUCGGUGUUGCCGUAGGGUUCACCGACAGCGAGAUCAGGCUCGCCGGAGUUCUCCCCCUCUCUGUGUGGCUAACAGGUGGGGUCGAGGACCCACUUGUCUAUACCUGUGUGCGGAUGCGGGUGCACUGCACCGGGUACACCUAGUAGAACUCGCCGAGACUUGAUUCUCAAUUUAAAGAAAUGUUUUUCAGAUAAUGGUUUAAAGCUUGUAAAAAUCAUAGCUUGAUUUCUAUUGCUCCAAAAAGUUUAAACAAAUUUUGUUAUGCUCUAUAUUAGUAGAUCUAAAGUUCGGUGUACUUGGUGUGAGACUUUUCUGUGAAGGUUUAUUUAAAUCUUGAAAAUAUUGAUUUCUUAUAAAAUAUGCAAAAAAUAAAAUAUAGCUCUGAAAAAUGUACUUCCUAUCUUGGUACAUUUGCACUACAAUCUAGCCUCUGUGAAAAAUGAGGAACCUAAUAUUACUCUACAAAAAUAAUUAUUAGUGAAUUAAUGCUUGCAUGAUGAUGGUUUAAGAUUUUUAAUAAAUAAUAUAUAAAUGCAAUUAAUCUAAGAAUUUUUGUAGGGCUCUCCUAUGUUACAAAGUAUUAAGGAAAAAUAUUAAAUUUGUUGUCUGACACUUUUGUAUGUAUAGAGUAUUUUCCAUUGUUUAUGUUUAGCAUACUUGUGAUUUUUGUGUGGGCCAUUUUACUUACCCAAAUUUUGUGAAAGUUUUAUGGUAGACUAUAUGUGUGAUCUAUAAGCUACUGUAAUUUUUAUGGAACUUAUUGAAUACCAGAGGUAUAUGUUGUUGUUAUUGGCCUAGUAAUAAAUAAAUAAAUAAAGAAUUAUUUUAUGUGAACUUGAAAGUAAUUAAACAGUUUGGUGUAUCUUUGAAGCAUUCUAAUGUGUGCUGCUUUAUCUUGGUAGGUGUAGAAAAAGAAUAGAAUAGAAUAACUUGUACUUAAGUUACAUGUUCUUGGAUGACAUUGACUACCUAGUACAAAUAGAUCACAUUGUCUUUUUGUCAUGACUCCCCUCUACCGGAGAGGAGAUAUGCACAUACUCAGUAAAUAACACAUCAUGACCACCCUUGUGAUCAUCUGCAUAAUCAUGCACCAUAUGUUCACCAUCCACUUACUUGAGCAUAUGCAUCAUACAGGCUCGUAGAAGAACGACGUGGUGACCGAACCUGAGGAGCCGGAGGUGACCGAGGUGCAGGAGAUCACUGAGGUGGAAGAGCAAGAAGAGGAGCUGCAAGAGUGUCUAGAUCACAGUCCUAGUUCUUUCGAGAAAGGCAAGCCUUGCUCCCCAAAUUUUCUGCUAAUUAUAUAUAUAUCAUGAUGGUUAUAUUGUUAUAUUAAGUUAUAGGAGUUGCUUGAUACCAUUGAUGUAUUGAAUAUCCCUUGGAAUAUCACCUUUCUACAUACCUUAUCCUAUGUAGUAUGGGCUCAGAGUCAAUGCUUAGCUCUGCUUAGCACAGUAGAAGUCGGAUGAUUCCCUGUCACCUGCGAGCUGUAGGUGGUCACCAAAGGUUUGGCAGUAUGUUUGCUAUCAUAAGUAAUAACCAAAUGUUGGGAAGCAAAGCUAAGACCGGACGAAACCUUUUGGGGGUGUUGGACCAUAGUGAUUCUGUCCUUGUCGAUUAAGGACCGAUCAUUGGUGGUCCUCUUGUCAUGUUGAACGCAUACCCUACACUUAACUUGAAGGAUAAGUUGUUCUGACUGUGAAGGUGGGACGCUAUUUGGGCCAGGAAUUGACCUGAUGUACGCACUGUAUUGGAGAUAGUUGAGGAGACUGAUGAGGGCGCGACGUGCAACCUUGGUAUGCCUUGGAUACCUUUGUCAUCGGAACGGUCCUUGGGUAUGGUGGUGCCUGCUGAACCGUGAAUUGGUCCUGAAUAGUGCAUCCGGUGACCUGUAGCUUACUUGAUCAGUGAGUGUGGCUUAUGUAGGGAAUAAAAUCACUAGCUGGUUAGGAAUUGUUUCGAAUCAUCAUCGCUCCUGGAUAGUAAGCACUUGACUUGAGCUUUGUCAUCGUAUUAAUGUUUAUGGAACACUGGAUGGUUAUGAGAUAUUGAUGAAGCUGGAAAAGCUGCACUAAAUUGGUAUUAUUGUACUGAAUCAAGUGAUUGCUAUAGUACAGGUGUUAAUCUAGAUGAUAGGUUAAUGAUACUUAACUUGAGCUAAUUAUCUAAAAAGGUUAUUUACUUAGUAACUUAAGAUUUUAUGGAAAGUUUGUGUCGAGCUACCCCUUUAUACAGCCUUACAUGAUCUUUGGUGUCAUUUAUUUCUGUUUUGUGAUAGGUAAGUCUAGCUGAGUAUAUUCUCAUAAUCAGGGCUCUGUUUCCAUGUUGUUUUGCAGAUGGGCAGAUGUACUAUGGGUACUGUAUUAACUGUCUUUACCUAGCUAUGGGUGAUGCUUAGACCAAUGGUGUGGUCACUUUGUCUUAUCUUUUGAUUUUGUGGGAAUCAUCAGACUCUAGCACUGUAAUCAAACUAAGUUUGUGUGUUUUCUAAAACUAUUCACUUCCGCUACUACUUUCAAGACUUGGUUUGUAAUAACUAAAUUCAAACUCCAAUGUACUGAAAUGUUUGUCAAUGAUAUGUAUUGUAUGAAUGGCGACCACUGAACUUAUUACGAUCUCUGUUAUGUUUGAGGAAAUUUUGAGAUCCUUCGAGAUUUCAUGGACUACCGGGAUUAUAUGGGCUUAAGUCUUUUAUAAUUUGGACAGUUCUGUUACAGCUAGUGUUGGAGCCAGUUUUAGCGGAUUACAGUUCAUAAGUAUAUUUAAAACAAAUUAAAUUUGUUUACAAAAACUGAUUAUCCAUCACGAAUUAUCAAGGUGUUAAAGUGAAUUUUGGAAAAUUAUAAGUGUGCUAGUGGUCAUAUCCUUUAUGUCUAGUUAAAGACUCUAAGGUGGCUAUUUAAGUACUGACUUGUUGGUUUAUGCAUCAUAUUUCUCUUUCAUUGCUCAUAUGGCAUUGUUGACAUUUACUACCGCCAUUACUAAAAAUAUAGAUAAACCCUACCUCUAGCAACAACGGCAAAAAUGCUCGGUAUAUAAUUAACUUAUCAUUAAGCAACUAGCCACUUCUUAAUGACUAACAUUCCUAAACAUGAAGUAGGUUGUCAUCCCUAAUUAUAUUGCUAGGAAUUUAUUAUAUAUUCACAUGUACUAUUGUGACUAGGCAGAAAUAAAAGAUAUGAAUAUGAUUAUAAACUAAAUGGGUUCUAGAAGUGGACAGAUAAUUAUACCAUUGUAGGAUUUUACCUAGGGAAGUAUCCAGGUUGUCGAUUUAUAUUUAUACCACUGGGAAGGCUAUGUGUUAAACAAUAAUCUAUUAUAUUGAUAAGAAACUAUAUAGGAUGAAUAAAUGAUAUUACCAAGGUUGUCUAAUCUACUCAUAACAGGUAGAGGUCACAAGAUAAAUAUGGGUAAAUAAUAAUGAUAGCAUAAUCAUCAAGUAUCAUAUUUAUGAAUAAUCAUUAGAGCAUCUACUAGUCAUGAUCAUAGUUAGCCAUUAGAUAAACUAGGGAGUUGGAUCUAAGGUAAUUCUAUAACUACAUCACUGAAUAACUCUAAUUAGUGCAAUUACAUCUAGAAAUCAUUGUUGAGCUAACCCUAUAUCAUAGUCACAUGUAAAGAGGCAUCAACUAAUGAGGGUAUUAAGACACAAGGGUCACCUCCUUCGCGACCGUGCCCAUGCUAGUCCUACGUACGAAGGGUGGACUACAGAGGAUACGCAACUGUCACCUAUGCGGUCUACCACACGACCCGACACGUCAGAGUGCACUCGCAGAUAAACAAUAUAUCUAGACACCACGUCUACAUAUUAUCUAUCAUCAACCCAAAGAUCUAUUAGGUCAACGCUAUAUGAGCAAUUACAUGAAUUCAAUAAGAUCAAACCAACUAUCCUAGACAUAUAAUCAAAGUAGACAAUGGCUAUUGCAAUUAAGAAUAUAUGAAUCUAUUAAGAACAAAGUCUCCCUAAUAUACAAUUGAAUACUAUAAAGUAAGAACAAGAUCUAUUACCGAACUCUUGCGCUCCAGACCGAAGCUAGGGGCUCCAGAUCCCGAUGAAGAACUAGAUCUCCUCUACUUCCAAUCUAACUAACUAGAACUACGAACUAGAAGGCUCUUGAUGAACUUGAAGGCGCUUGAUGCUUGAUGGCUCGAGGCCUUGAUGAAUAAUGGAUUGGUUUAUUUCUCCAGGGGGGUCUACCCCUGUAUUUAUAGUCCGGAGGGAUGCGCGUGCGUCGUAGGAUCAAACCGACUUAACCAAGGGCCGAGAUGACUCCUCGUAGGUGGUGGAGG